GCAUUGGUGGUUCAGUGGUAGAAUUCUCUCCUUCCAUGCAAGAGACCUAGGCUUGAUUUCCAGCCAAUGCA
Molecule: transfer RNA, 71 nt
Filed under: Loxodonta africana (African savanna elephant)
Lineage: Eukaryota; Metazoa; Chordata; Mammalia; Proboscidea; Elephantidae
Rfam family: tRNA
About the family: Transfer RNA (tRNA) molecules are approximately 80 nucleotides in length. Their secondary structure includes four short double-helical elements and three loops (D, anti-codon, and T loops).
Source: Rfam by way of RNAcentral